CACUUACCUCCCCUGAGGUUUCUGAUAAUUACAGACACCUCCCAUCAGGUUACUGAAAUUGCACUUACCUCCCCUGUCAGGGUUGGCGAGUAACAGAACCUAACAGGGGAAGCAAAAAUACUUAUUUGCCCAUGGUAUUAUACUAAAUAAAGAAAACCGGAUAAAGAAGAAGAAAGAAUAAAGAAAAUGUAGAAAAUAAAAGAGAAAAGUGUACAGUGUUUUAGCUACCUACCCACCACGUGUAGGGUUGUGAUGUGUUUCUCCAAUCCUGAGGUCUGCCCCUUCGUAUUACGCGCCAAGAAGAGAGAGGUAGUUCUCAGAAAAAAGGAGAGAGACAGAAUGGGUGUAUCGAUCAAAUCCUCUUCUAUCACUGAAAGAGAAAUCUGAAGGAAGAAAGAGAUGGCUUAGGGUUUGAAACUGAUCAAAUCUCCUUGUUUGUCGAGUGGUACCUACGAUUUGGAAGAAACAAAGAAACAGUUGUAGUGCUGUGAAGAACGGCUUGCUCUGUAAUCGUUGCUUGAAGAUAUGGAUGCUCUGUAUUUCGACAUAACUGUGUAUUUUAGAGGUAAUGUUUCAAGGAUAAAAAAUGUGAACCCUGAGAGGUAUACCUAUGUUGAUCUGUUGGAUGAUGUUGCUGAAAAGAGUUUAUCUACAAUCCCAUGUGGGAAUUGUUGUGCGAUCACAUUGAAAAGCAAAAUUCCUGAAUCUAAUGAAACCAUAGUUGUAAGUUGUGACCUAGAUGUUCUUUAUAUGUUUAGGUUCAACUCUCGAACUUGUCAAAUUGAAUUGAUUGUUGAUGUGGGUGAAGAUGGUGGAACACUUGAGGUAGGAGGACAGGAGGGUGUUAAGAAUGAUGUAAGGGCCCAUGAUGUAAUUGAUCUCAGUGAUGAUGUAGUUGAGGGUCUUACAAGUGAAGCUCAUAAUGUGCAGAGAAUUGAGGGUGUUAGUGAUGUUGGUAAGGGUAGUAGUGUUGGCCAGUUUAAGAGUGUUAGGAAGCGUAAUGAUGUCACAAGGCGAGAGCAUGAUGACUAUCUUGCAAGUUUGGACAAUGAUGAGGAUGGUCGUCUUAGUGAUCAGUCUGAACAUAGUGAUGAGGAUUUCAUUAACGAUAGUGAUCGGUCUGAACAUAGUGAUGAGGAUUAUAGCUUUCCCUCUGCUAAUGAGGAUUCUGGCAGUAGUACUGAUGGAUUCUCUAGUUAUGAGUCUGAUAAUGAGGAUGAGAGAGACUCUAGUGAUGGGGAAGGGAAGAAAGGAAAGAUUUAUGUUGAUAUUACCAAAUUUGGGCAAGAGUUUCAUGUUGAUGGUGAAGAUGGGAAGGUCAUAUUGAAGGAGAAUUUGUUAUUUGAGAAUGUUGACAAGUUUAGAGAAGCUUUGAAGGAGUACACUAUCCAAAAGGGUUGUAAAAUUAUUAGGGUUAAGAAUGAAAAGGGUAAGGUCACAUGUCAUUGUGCUGCCCUUGGAGAAUUCAUGCAUCUCCUUUACCAGAUGGCACCACAUACAAAAUUAGGACUUAUCAUGGAGAGCACACUUGCAUAUCUUCCACAAAAAUUCCUGAGGCAACUUCUAAAUGGAUUUGUAAGAAGAUGUUGAGGUGCUUGAGAGCAAAUCCAAAAAUGACCUUAGAAUCAAUGCAAGUUGAAGUGCAACAUAAGUAUGGAAUUGAAGCAUCAUUUACCCAAUUGUAUAGGGCAAGAAGGAAGGCAUUAGCAGAGAUUGAAGGAAACCAUGCAAAGUCAUAUUCAUUACUUCCAGCAUAUGCAUAUGAAGUAUUGAAGAGCAACCCUGGUAGUCUUGUUAAGAUUAAAGGUGAAAUGUUAACUCCAACCUCAACCCCGAUGUUUCAGAGGUUUUUCAUAGCAUUUGAUGCUAUGAUUACUGGUUUCAAAUCUGGUUGCAGGCCCUUCAUUGGGCUUGAUGGUUGUCACCUCAAAGGGCCAUAUGGAGGUAUAUUAUUGUCUACAGCAGGAUUGGAUGGAAAUAAUGGUUUGUUCCCAAUUGUUGUUGCCAUUGUGGAGAUAGAAGGGAGUGAAAGCUGAAAGUUUUUCAUUGACCAUUUGCAGACAGCCUUGGAUCAUGGGAGUGAAGCCAAGCCUUGGACCUUCAUGUUAAACAUGCAAAAGAGUAUUGAACCAGUGCUUGUAGAGUUUAUGUCUCAAUCUGCCAAUAGGUUGUGUUGAAGACACCUUUUUGCCAACUUUAAAAAGGUGCAUUCUGGAUUGUUGCUUAGGAAAUGUUUU
RNA transcript from Rhododendron vialii, 2237 nucleotides. RefSeq lists it as uncharacterized. NCBI's taxonomy places the organism in Eukaryota, Viridiplantae, Streptophyta, Magnoliopsida, Ericales, Ericaceae. The record is from RefSeq and is a predicted model, not a curated record. The transcript is spliced from 3 exons.